GAAACGCCGGGGACACGGAGGGUGAGAAGAGAUGCGAGGGGAUGGCGGUGAGGGUAUGACGGUGAGGGCCGAGAGAGUGAGUAUGCGAGAACGGUGGUCGAGUGGUGGUGGAAGAGCGAGGGAGCGUAGUCGAGCGACCGUCCCGCUGUGGCCACGAGCUCCGACGCUCGGGGAACGUAGGUAGUGUGUGAACUUCCGGCCGAGUGAAGCGGACAGGGGUUGUUGUAGUUAUAGGGAAGGUGCCGUUGAAGUUGAAGUAGAAGACGAUCGCGUGGUAAAGACGAAACGUAGAGAAUACCGAGCGAGAGAAACAGAAGGAAGGAGGAAGGGAAGAAGUGACGCCAGGUGUGUGAAAGAGGCAGAAAAAAAGAAGGAAGAACAAGAGUAGUUAGUGUGGUUGUGCUCGUACGAAAAACGGGCCCAUUCACUCUCGUUCUCCUCGUAUUCGGAUCGUGCUUUCGGUACCGCUGCCGAAAGCUGCUUGCGCGGAGUUGACUCGCAGAGGGGUUAUUCUCUCUCUCUUGCUCGCGAGGGUGUACCGCGCCUCGUGGUGCGACAGUACGAAGAAGAGGGGAUCGCCACCGGGGCAGAGGCUCGAACGCAUGUAGGAACAUGGCCGCAUCCAGCCCCUGCCUCCCUCUAGAGCACUCCAAAAAAACUGAUGUUCAUCUCGAUCGCCUCUAAAUCCGAUACUGAUGACGGCGACGGCGGCGUCGGUGGUAACAACAACGACGACGUCGAUGGAACCGCGAUGGUGGACGUUGUUCGUGACAGGGGUGGUGGAAAUGGCGGUGGAUGGAUAGAAGGGAGGGAGAUGAGUCGCUCGAUGGGGCAACGAGGGGCUAAGAGGACGAAAGGGCGGCACAUGAAUGAACGAUCAAUAGAUAUAUAGUUACUUGCUUGCUCCACCGGGUACCUACCUUCAGCAAAGGGCAGUUGAUACAGACUGUCUGAUAAUAGGCGCAUCUCUAUUGAUGCCAAAUAUUAUAAAAUUUUUUUUUUAUUCAAUAUUAUAUGAAACACACAUAAAAUUAUUUUAUAAAAAAUAUUUACAAUGAUUGACACAAAAUAAAAAUAGACAUGUUUUCUGCGACUUUUUAAAUAAUUAUAUUUAUCUUGAGAAUAUAAAACACAAAUGUAUCCCUGCUUAUUUUAAAAAAUCUAGGACGAAUAUACAUAGAAACUUCUAGAAGUAAUACAAUUGUACGAUUAAACAUAUCGUAGUGUGCAGAGCAAGUUUCUUGGAAUGUCUUGAUGAUAUAUUGUCAACUAAUACAGCGUCACUUAAAAACAAUUUGCUAGCAGAUAAAUUAAAUAACGAUAAAAUAUUAUAACAUUGAAGUAGCAAUUAUUCUUCUUAGACUUAUGAAAAUAUGGUGUAAUUUUUUGCAAUCAUUAUAUAAAGUAUUUCUUACAGUAUUUCUUAUUUCCUAUUUCAAGUAGAUAUGAUCUGAUUAACAUUCCAGAUACUUUUUCACAAUAUUGCCAUAGUU
Long non-coding RNA from Formica exsecta, 1493 nucleotides. RefSeq lists it as uncharacterized. Lineage: Eukaryota; Metazoa; Arthropoda; Insecta; Hymenoptera; Formicidae. The record is from RefSeq and is a predicted model, not a curated record. The transcript has 3 exons.